AUAAUACCCCCUCCGUCCGGAAAUAUUUGUCGGAGAAAUGGUUGAACAUGGAUGUAUCUAGAACUACAAUACGUCUGGAUACAUCCAUUUCUUCGACAAGUAUUUCCGGGCGGAGCCAGUAGAUU
Molecule: non-coding RNA, 125 nt
Organism: Triticum urartu
Lineage: Eukaryota; Viridiplantae; Streptophyta; Magnoliopsida; Poales; Poaceae
Source: Rfam